Molecule: long non-coding RNA, 2581 nt
Organism: Oncorhynchus tshawytscha (Chinook salmon)
Lineage: Eukaryota; Metazoa; Chordata; Actinopteri; Salmoniformes; Salmonidae
Exons: 4
Source: RefSeq, a predicted model, not a curated record
GUUCAACAAUGCCCAGGCAUCUGCACUCAAGGCUCUCUCUCUCUGCAGGGUUCGUUUGAAACCAAGGUUUGCACUAUCAUGCAAACGGUAUGUACAGAUAUCUGCCUAUCCCCCAUCAAAAAGUGUGUCGGUUUCUCUUAAAAUGGGGACUUUCGAUUCAUUAACACAUAUGCCUUUCAAAUCCUAAUUUAUCUCACACCCUCCAGAGGAUGUGAAGGCUAAAAAGUCAACCUGCCCCCAGAAAGAAUACACCAUGUCUAGACCGACCCCAGGGGGUAAACAUUGAUAUUUCUAAUCAGCGCAUAUACUAACGGUGCCCCCACCCCGGUCUAUAAAUUUACAUCGGACACCCACCAAGGUGCUAACCCUGAGGAUGUAGGAAAUCAAAAGGGCCAUGUCUUACUGUCUCGACACCCCUCCUGUUGUUUGAAAUCACUACCUUUGUAAUCUAAACCAAAAUAUACAGGGUGUUGCAAACAGGAUAUCGCCCGAAAAAACGUCACCCCCCAUGCCCUGUAAAUGCAUUCCGUAGUAUCUCUCCUUUUGAGCCAAGACCGAGGAGCGAGUGUCCGAUCCACUAUGUUAGCACCGCUUUAGCGCAGCUACAAACCCACAGGCCAGCAACCCCGAAUAGUUAUCGGACUGAACAUUUAAAAGGAUCAUCUGUGAAUCCGUCCUAAUGGAGCUUUCUGAAGGUGAGUUAAUGAAAAAAUAUAUAUUAGAUUUGGAUGCGUGGAAUUGUUUGAACAUGAAGGAUGAUAUUGUAAUAUUAAACAUGGAGUUAUGUGUUUUAAACGUGGGUCAAUGCACGUAUUCUUAUCGUAUAAAAUGUUAAUAUUAUCUAACGUUAAUAUUAUCUAACUUUUGUAGGGUCUCCAACAUUUACGCAGCUGCUCAGAGGGAUAAAUGAUCUGGAACAGACAGCGUUAGACGGCGAUUCUCAGGAGCAAAUCGCAUGCAGCCAAACCCCGUCACAUUAUUGUAGACCUGACAUACAGCCAAGAAGAAUAACGGGGUCCAUGUGGACCCUGAACGGCUUCGGAAGAGCAGAUGACACAUCCGAUGACACAGAUGCAAUUCUCCCGUUCUGUACGAACGUUUUUUCAAACACACCGAGAACAGAGGAUUUAAACGUCCGGUUAACUCCCCCGGAAACCUCCACCAGCUCGCUCCAUAUUCCUAACCCAAGCAAACAACGCACAACUCGGGCGCAAAUACAUUGCUCAGAAUCAACCCCUCCGGAAAAGUACGACAGGAUAGGGAAUUUACGAGACGGCGCUCCAUGGACACGGCUCCAACGAGACAGGCCUGGCAGAAUCGGGAAUUCUUGGUGACAAAAGUCAAGCCCCCCCCAACCGGUUUACGCGAUUCGUCAGAACAGCCCUCGUCAAAAAAGCAGAGACUCCUCCCCGGCGUAUAACGGCACCAAAGACCUCACACAUCUAGAGCACGCGGAGGAUUCCGGCUCACCGAACAUUCCCAAUGAAACAACCAAAACGGAGGAUUUUAACGUUAUAAAUUACAUUUCCGAGGCAGACGACCGGUUAUUAUGGGAUGCGGCCAACCUUCUUGAUUCUGCCAAUUCUGUGGUGACAACAGACGGAUCUGAAAUAGAACAAGCUAGGUUUUUCACAGCCUUUUCCAGGGCUCUAAAAUCCCGAAAGGUUUUGCUACACAGACGUCUGGGUGUUUUAAUAGAGCGCCAAUACCGUCAGGAUAUAUCGUUCUGGCAUAGAGCAAUUCCACGUAUGUUAAACAGCAAUCAGAUUUUAAAAAACGCAAAUACAGGCGUUAAAAGCAUAUAUGUUACACGGAUCCUUCCAGAAUAACCCAAGAACACACAUCAUUAAUUAUCCAAAUGGCUGACCCAACAGACCUAGGCGAGACAGUUGAAAACCUCUUAUCCCAGAUACCGCCAGAAUUCCAAGCUAUAAUUAACCAUAUGAAUGAGGCGGGGGUAACAGACAUAAUACCGAUAGAUGAAAGCAUAUUAUCACAGAUUCCAGCCGAACUCAUAGAAAUUAUUAAUCGUAUGAAUGAGUCAGGGCCUUCGGAUGAAAAGCCCUCAUAUCGCUAAUGAUGAACGAGAGCCUGAGAUCUAAUUCUGCAACACACACCCCUCAAAACCAGACAUUAACACCCAUGUCCGAAGAGUCUGAAAGGCAAUACGAUGUUUUUGAGGAAUUGGAAAAUUGUCUAAUAAAUCAGGAUUGUAUGGAUAGAAGUGUUCGUGUUGUGUACCGAAAUCAAUUCAACAAUACAGAGAUUCGACAGUUUUUCAAUUUCGCAUGGGUGAAUCUAAAACUUGACUAUACUGUGUUUUACGUAAUGAUAUUGGACACUCUGAACGAACUGUUAGAAAGGGCUAGAGAUUAUGGCGAACCACGUUAUGUCUUACAGUUGGAAAUUUGUGGAGACAUGCAUAGCACGGUAUCUCUUAUUUUACCCAAUGGCGAAGCAGAUCUGGAACAAUUUAUCGCGCUACUAGAACGACUUGUUCAGUCAAAUGUAUCCGUCUUAGCCGAUAGGACCUCGAGCUUGUAGUGCAAAUAAUACGUCAACCCCUGGGUGGUGGUGGGCA